GACGAACGCUGGCGGCGUGCUUAACACAUGCAAGUCGAACGGUGAAGCGCCUUCCUUUUUGGUGGGUGUGGAUGAGUGGCGAACGGGUGAGUAACACGUGAGUAACCUGCCCCCUUCUUCUGGAUAACCGCAUGAAAGUGUGGCUAAUACGGGAUAUUCUGGGUCUGUCGCAUGAUGGGUCUGGGAAAGAUAUUGUUUCGGUGGGGGAUGGGCUCGCGGCCUAUCAGCUUGUUGGUGGGGUGAUGGCCUACCAAGGCGGUGACGGGUAGCCGGCCUGAGAGGGUGGACGGUCACACUGGGACUGAGACACGGCCCAGACUCCUACGGGAGGCAGCAGUGGGGAAUAUUGCACAAUGGGCGCAAGCCUGAUGCAGCGACGCCGCGUGAGGGAUGGAGGCCUUCGGGUUGUGAACCUCUUUCGCCAGUGAAGCAGGCCUGCCUCGUUUGUGGGUGGGUUGACGGUUGCUGGAUAAGAAGCGCCGGCUAACUACGUG
This 494-nucleotide ribosomal RNA is filed under the name uncultured bacterium. Its description in RNAcentral is "partial 16S ribosomal RNA". It matches the Rfam family "Bacterial small subunit ribosomal RNA", at positions 28 to 507 of the family's 1533-position model. The record is from RNAcentral.